This is a long non-coding RNA of Hipposideros armiger (great roundleaf bat), 4329 nucleotides long. RefSeq lists it as uncharacterized. The record is from RefSeq and is a predicted model, not a curated record. Lineage: Eukaryota; Metazoa; Chordata; Mammalia; Chiroptera; Hipposideridae. The transcript is spliced from 3 exons.
CCCCUUGCUUUCCGAUUUUUAAAAAGGCAAAGGCGCGUGUUGGUUUGACAAAGGCGCGGCUUCAGCACCCUGACACCGUUUUCUUCCCUCGUCUGGCUGCGCUGACCAGACUUCCCAAAGCGGCCUCCUGGUCUUUUCCUAACUUAGUGGAAAUGUCUGUCUCGCUAUUGAGCAUAAUGCGGGCGGAGGCUUGGAGAGCGGCGUCUGCUUUUCCUUGGAGGAAACCUCUGAAGGGAACUGCUUUUACAAGAGCACAUCAGAAAAGCACAGAUUGGCCUGCGCGCCUGCGAGGGGCUCCCGGCCCCCUCCCCGCGCUGCCCACGCUCUGCCCGGGGGUGAAGUUUCUCCUGCGUUUCCGCUUGAACGGCAUCCAGCUGCCUCGCCUUUAAAAUGCCAGGCCGGCCGCCGCUCCGCUCAGAGCCCCCUCUCGGCGGCUGGCCCCGGCUCGCCCGCACCGCCGGGGCGCUGACUCAGCCGCAGCCCGGCCGCUGCCCGCCGAGCCGAGCCGGGCCUGGCAGCCCCUGGCAGCCCCGCGCCCACCCUGUGCGCAACCCCCUGCGACCCCGGCCGAGCAGCGCGCGGCAGCCAGCCAGCCAGCCAGCCAGGGCCCCGAGAGCGCAGGGGACCGGCCUCGCCAGCCCCGUCGGUGCCCGUGCCCACUCUCUGAGUGAAAGCACACUGCUCUCCUGGCUCCCAGCUGCGAUGCCCAGCCAUCCCCCCAUCUGUCGUGCAGCGACCCGAUCCAGGCUGCCAACCCACCCAGUGGCCCUUGUGAAGUGGUGACCACUCCGACCAGCAGGGGUGGAAGAUGGUACCAGCCAACCCCAAGCCGGACGAGGAGCCCGCAGCCGCAGCCGCAGCCGCUGCCGCCGCGAGAUGGAGGAGCCCACGCCCGAGCCCGUCUACGUGGACGUGGACAAAGGACUGACCCUGGCCUGCUUUGUCUUCCUCUGUCUCUUCCUCAUUGUCAUGAUUAUCCGCUGUGCCAAGGUCAUCAUGGACCCUUACAGCGCCAUCCCCACGUCCACCUGGGAAGAGCAGCACCUGGAUGACUGAGGCGUGGUCGCAGGGCUGCCAGGAUGCGCCACCGACCUGCCAGGAUGCGCCCCCGGCCUCCCAGGAUACGCCACCGGCCUGCCAGCCCCUAGACACGAGGAACGAACUAGGCCCCCGGGGGUAGGGAGGACGUUCAACUUGGCCUCGCUUCCUCUCCCACGAGCACCAGAGUGACAGGCUCGGGGUGCUGUGAGCGUUCCUGCCAUGGCCAGUCCAGGAACCACUGUGACUAUGGGGCGGUCACCUCCCCAGGCCCCAGCACAGACACGCACCAUCACACCACAGUGGUCUCGUCCUGAGGAGACCUCCUGCCCUUAAAAUUCAAACUAGCACAUGGGCUGGCCCUGGGUGUUCCCGGCACAGGCGUCCCACCGGACCCCGCCUCCCCAUGGGCCACUGGCGCAGCAGGUGGCAAAGCCGGAAGGGAGAUGGAAGGGGCCUCACCAGAAAUCUCACACAGGGCAUAGGGCUGCUUCCCAGCCGUAUUUUUUUAAACAAGAGGGGUAUAUUUUUCCUGUUAAAAAUGAGAUGAGCAUUUUAGAAAUUUGGGAAAAUGCAGAAAAAUAGAAGGAAACGGGGGAAAAGAAUACUUAUAAUCCCACCUCCCAGAAGUCACCAUUCUGCAAUACUUUCUCCCAGCCUUUUUCACACAUAUUUUUUUAAAUAGUCACGUUCGCGACGCAUGCGCGAUGUUGUAUCAUCCGUGUACAGCAUUCCGCCAGACCCCCUUCACGGCCGUCCCUGCUCGUGGCUGGCUACACAGAGUCCCACCAGGUGGCUAGGUCGUAGCUUAAUAAUCAUCUCCUUUGGUCACAUUUAUUGAUUUUGCUCAUUUUUCCUCGCACAAAAUUAUUCCACCCAGUAACCUCUUGAGAGUCUAUAACAUGCAUAUUGGAUGGGGAGACCAGGGUUCUAGCCCUGUAAUCACUCAAAGGCUGUGUGACUGGGAGCAGGUCCCUUCACCUCUUGGUGUCUCAGUUCCCUCACAUGACCACGUGAAGGAAAAGCCCUGCCCGUUCUAUUGUGUGUAGACCUCACGGGAAUGAAAGGACAGGAGGGGGCUGCUUAAAUGAAAUGUGCCAUAGGUGGGUGCGGGCGAGGACUGAGCUGGUGAGAAGGGGUCUCCUGGGGACUCCCUGUGCCCUCUUUUCCCUACGAUCCACCCCACCUCUCACCCCGUCACCUACUAUGACGUCAGAGCAGAGCCCACAAGCCUGGCCCCAAGUCCCAACUCCUCUACUUCCUUGCUAUAUGACCCCCAAGAAUCACUCACCUUCUCUGAGCCCCAAUUUCCUCAUCUGCCAAGUGGGGGAAUGACAUCUACCUCACAAGGUGGUUGUGAGGAUGAAAUGAAAGAACACAGGCAAACCUAGUGUCCUUUCUUGAUUCUGACACUCCAGAAGCCAGGGGUCUGAGAGGGGAGGAGCCGAGAUUCUGGGUGCCCCCCCCCCGCCACCGUAGAGCCUGGAACCCUAGUUGUCCUCAGUUUCCUACAGGCUACUUCCAACAGGCCGAACCUCCCAGCCAGGACCCCAGUCAGAGGAAUGCUCACAGCAACCUCUCUCAGCACCUGAUCUCAAGGGAUACAGUGUCUAUUAAUUUACGCAAUUGUCAUUGUCAUCAGUAUUCAUAUACACUUUGAAGUUAAACAAGACCGCCCGAAUGCCCCUUCCUCUGAAUGCAUUCAUCCCACCCGUCCAAGGCAUGGCCUGCUGGCCGCCAGAAGAGACCUGCAGCUGUGAAGAAGCUCAAGACUCCCUUCCCACCAACCUGUGUCCCAGCCAUGGGUCCCACUCCAACCCAGGCCACUGGGGAAACAGGUUUCCAAAGCACUGUCACAAAGGGACAGCUGGUAAAGGCAGUGGACCAAGAUGCGUUGGAGGCUCUGCAUCAGGAAAGGACCGAGAGCAGGGACCUGGAGCACUGCCUCAGGCCCCGCAGCAGCCUUCACUCUGCAGCCUACCUCAGAAAUACCGAGCACUUCUGGGAAAAGCCCAUCAGCGUGGAGUGACAAUGUCUGUACAUCAGAACCAGCUCCCAACCAGCUGGUGGCAGAUCCCAAGGGACAGAGAGAGAGGUCUUGAAGACCUCACCUGGAGAUGCGUUGGAACUCUCAGUAGUGAAAACCAGGAUGCCCUCGGACCCGCUGCUCAAAUGGUGACGAAGGACCAACAGCAUUUGCAACACUGAGGAGCUUGUUGGAAAUCCAAAAUCACGGCCCCACUCCAGACCUAGAGGAGCAGAAUCUCUGGGGUGGGGCCCAGAAUCUACCAGCAAGACCCACCAAGUGAUCUGUAUGCACACGAAUGGCUGAGAGGCACUGCCCUGGGGUCCCAUUGUCCCGAUAAUUCCUUUCUAAACCUAGAUUGGCUCCCACCCUAUCUUCGCUCUUUUUCUGUUGUUGAAAGGGGACACAACACUUCGGAAAGGACAGAAAAUUUAAAAAUCACUCUCCACCCAAGUCUCCAACAAAACGGUGAUUUUCAUUGUGUGUUGGUAUGUUCCCUUCAAAUCCUUGUCCAUAUGCAAGAUUUUUUCCCCCCAUAAAGGCUAUCUGUUACAUAAUUUAAAACAUACUUUCUCCUAAAAUUACAUCCUAAGCGUGUUUCUGCUACAGUCUUCCCAGUCAUCAUUUCAGGGGUUAUCAACCAUGCCGCCUAGAGCACGUGCAUAAUUAUCCAGGCUCCUACUAAGUGCUUGGGUUGCUGUCAUUUUUCCUAUGAUCCAUGCAGCAAGAGGAAAAAGAAAGGUAAAGACGGAUAUGCUGACCCCUGGGAGCCUGCUCAGCACAAUGGAGAACAAGUAUUUAAGCCGCACACCCUCCACCUAAGAGACACAAGGAGGAGAAAGACCUAAGAAUUCGAUGGUAUUGGGGGGGGGGUACCACUGGAAUUUCAAGCCCCCGCUGAUGCUUUAUAUGCUGCUCAAGGAGGGAGAUGUUCCUUUAUGACCAGAGCGCCUUCACCAGCCUCUGGCUAUCUGACAUGAAGUUCGGGGCUGUGGAUGGAGAGAGAAACUGUCCAGCAAAAGAAAUGAAUAGAAUUGUAGCAGACGGGAAGCUGGCAGAGAGGAAGUGAAAAGCACUCAGAGAGGCCUGGGAGGUUGGCCAUGCUCCAGGACUUCAGGGAAAAUGUGGCCACAAAGGGACUCCCUGCCCCAGGGAACGGAUGAUGGACUGUCCAGACAGUGGUGUCUGCGGCCAGUUUUAAGAAGCUGCCUGCACGGUGCCCUGUCCAGCCCCUUCUGUUGAUGCAGACCCUCAGUAAAGUCUGA